CCCUCCCCUAAAUCACUCCAAAAAAACAAUCCCCAAUUCUACACAAGUGUUUCUACACUAACAAAGCAACAGCUCCUUAACGAAUUCCCAACUUUACACGAGCUCGUCUCUCGAGGUUAAAUGUUAUUACUUGGUAAGAUUCCGGACCUCGCCAAGUGUUUUGAAAACCCGCAACGCUCGCAAAGGUGCAUAGUGAGAAUAAUAAGUGAAGAGACAGACUUGUCCAAAACGCCCACCACGAAGGUGCAUAGUGAGAAGAGUAAGUCAAGAGAUAGACUUGUCCAAAAAGAAACGGAAGAGAAAGCUUGGGGAGACGCUCACGAAGGUGCAUAGUGAGAAGAGUAAGUCAAGAGAUAGACUUGUUCAAAAAGAAACACAAGAGAAUGCUUGGGGUUACACUCACGAAGGUGCAUAGUGAGAAGAGUAAGUCAAGAGAUAGACUUGUUCAAAAAGAAACAGAAGAGAAUGCUUGGGGUUACACUCACGAAGGUGCAUAGUGAGAAGAGUAAGUCAAGAGACAGACUUGUUCAAAAAGAAACAAAAGAGAAUGCUUGGGGAGAUAGAAGUGUGAGAUAGUUCUCAAGCUAAGAAAGUUGUAAAAGCUAAGAACUAGCAAGUAAUCGUCCAGGAUUCCUCCACCAGGACUUGAAAUCGUCGAGGGAAAAAAUCGGUUCCGAGGAAUCGUCGAUCCGGACUUGGAAUCGUCGAGAAAAGUUUACCGGGUCCGAGGAUUUGUCGAC
RNAcentral lists this unclassified non-coding RNA (740 nucleotides) under Arabidopsis thaliana (thale cress). RNAcentral describes it as "3' external transcribed spacer". The record is from RNAcentral. Lineage: Eukaryota; Viridiplantae; Streptophyta; Magnoliopsida; Brassicales; Brassicaceae.